UACUACAUGUACUGUAUAUCAUUUGGUUUGGAGCAAGUAAUCCAGCACACCUGCCGAGUGCUACAGGAAAAUCUCACAUUUGGAACAUGUGAACUGUACUUGUAGUGUGCUCCAUAUAAAUUCCCGAAAUUGAGGUGUUGUGGAAGAAUGAUCCCUGUGGGGCCUUUGAUUGGAUGUCUCCCUGGGUCUGACGAGAUUACAAACUGCCUGAUAAGGAACAGCAGUGCACGUGAAAUUUCAAAGCAGACCAUUUUGGCUUAGCACUGUGUGGCUGAACUCGUGACUUCCAUUUGCAAAUCGGUGAUGUUUUGUGCAUCCCGGGGCAGGGUCAUGGGAGUGCUGGACUCUAUCGCCGCUAUCUUUGGGUGAGAGGCGAGGUGCACUCUGAACCAGUCGCCAGCCAUUCGCAGGGCACAUG
This is a long non-coding RNA of Syngnathoides biaculeatus (alligator pipefish), 418 nucleotides long. RefSeq lists it as uncharacterized. Lineage: Eukaryota; Metazoa; Chordata; Actinopteri; Syngnathiformes; Syngnathidae. The record is from RefSeq and is a predicted model, not a curated record. The transcript has 3 exons.